GGGUUGUGAGGUUAAGCGACUAAGCGUACACGGUGGAUGCCCUGGCAGUCAGAGGCGAUGAAGGGCGUGCUAAUCUGCGAUAAGCGCCGGUAAGGUGAUAUGAACCGUUAUAACCGGCGAUACCCGAAUGGGGAAACCCAGUGUGACUCGUCACACUAUCAUUAACUGAAUCCAUAGGUUAAUGAGGCGAACCGGGGGAACU
RNAcentral lists this ribosomal RNA (202 nucleotides) under Salmonella enterica subsp. enterica serovar Tennessee. Its description in RNAcentral is "partial 23S ribosomal RNA". It matches the Rfam family "Bacterial large subunit ribosomal RNA", at positions 1 to 194 of the family's 2925-position model. Lineage: Bacteria; Pseudomonadati; Pseudomonadota; Gammaproteobacteria; Enterobacterales; Enterobacteriaceae. RNAcentral also lists the same sequence under 2 other names. The record is from RNAcentral.